Molecule: long non-coding RNA, 710 nt
Filed under: Canis lupus familiaris (dog)
Lineage: Eukaryota; Metazoa; Chordata; Mammalia; Carnivora; Canidae
Description: lncRNA (ENSCAFG00845030192.1)
Source: RNAcentral
CAAGCACAGACCAGGGAGACCUCUCUACUUUGCAGUUAUCUGAAGUGUCAGCAGAAUUUUCUAGAUUUGGAUAGCACUGGCAUUUUGGAACAGUCACGUGAUGGGAACUCCUUCCUCCUUUCCACACGACUCUCUGGCCUCCUUCCUGUCUCAGAUUCUCUCCUGGGUCCUGUGACACAGAUGCACCAGGCACCAUCCCGGCCCCGAGGAGCUCCAGGCUCACAGAUCAUAUCCAAAGGGUUCUGAUUUCAGAAGAGCUUGGGUACCGGCUGGUUCUGCCCCCAGAAAGAGCUCAUCAGUGAGGAGACAGCGUUUGGUGCAGGAGGAGGGAUGGGGCUAUUGGUUAUGGAGGCCUCCACUCCAUCUGUGCUCUGUGCUGGAGGAGGGGUCUCUGGCAGCUGCUGCUGAGGAUAUUUUUGGGGGGGGUUGGGAGAAGCGGAGGUGAUCCCCACCCCUACUCACCACCCUCAAAGAAUCAGAAGAGAACUAAAGAGCUAAAGAAAAGCUGGCUUAGCUGGAGCCCACUCUCUGUUCCCCUGAAUGGUUUUGAUGGUGGAAUUUAAAGGGGCAGUAACGUGUACUCACACCAUCUUGUUAUUUGUGUCACAUGUUGAAAACCUUGUUGGGUAAACUGGGGAGCAAAGCAAAAGGAAACCCUCAAUGAUUUCACCUGCAUGCAGAUCUCAGAAGCAAGUCCUCCUUAGUGAGAG